Molecule: ribosomal RNA, 460 nt
Filed under: uncultured bacterium
Lineage: Bacteria
Description: partial 16S ribosomal RNA
Rfam family: Bacterial small subunit ribosomal RNA
Source: RNAcentral
CCUACGGGUGACAGCAGUGAGGAAUAUUGGUCAAUGGACGAGAGUCUGAACCAGCCAAGUAGCGUGAAGGAUGACUGCCCUAUGGGUUGUAACCUUCUUUUAUAUGGGAAUAAAAUGUUCAACGUGUGGUAUUUUGUAUGUACCAUAUGAAUAAGGAUCGGCUAACUCCGUGCCAGCAGCCACGGUAAUAAGGAGGAUCCGAGCGUUAUCCGACUUUAUUGGGUUUAAAGGGAGCGUAGGUGGAUUGUUAAGUCAGUUGUGAAAGUUUGCGGCUCAACCGUAAAAUUGCAGUUGAAACUGGCAGUCUUGAGUACAGUAGAGGUGGGCGGAAUUCGUGGUGUAGCGGUGAAAUGCUUAGAUAUCACGAAGAACUCCGAUUGCGAAGGCAGUUCACUGGACUGCAACUGACACUGAGGCUCGAAAGUGUGGGUAUCAAACAGGAUUAGAUACCCCUGUAGUC